GCCGGCGUGGCGGAAUUGGCAGACGCGCAGGACUUAAAAUCCUGUGGUAGCGAUAUCGUACCGGUUCGACCCCGGUCGCCGGCA
RNAcentral lists this transfer RNA (84 nucleotides) under Agathobacter ruminis. It matches the Rfam family "tRNA". From Rfam's summary of the family: Transfer RNA (tRNA) molecules are approximately 80 nucleotides in length. Their secondary structure includes four short double-helical elements and three loops (D, anti-codon, and T loops). Further hydrogen bonds mediate the characteristic L-shaped molecular structure. tRNAs have two regions of fundamental functional importance: the anti-codon, which is responsible for specific mRNA codon recognition, and the 3' end, to which the tRNAs corresponding amino acid is attached (by aminoacyl-tRNA synthetases). tRNAs cope with the degeneracy of the genetic code in two manners: having more than one tRNA (with a specific anti-codon) for a particular amino acid; and 'wobble' base-pairing, i.e. permitting non-standard base-pairing at the 3rd anti-codon position. RNAcentral also lists the same sequence under 1 other name. The record is from Rfam by way of RNAcentral. Lineage: Bacteria; Bacillati; Bacillota; Clostridia; Lachnospirales; Lachnospiraceae.